AGUGAACGCUGGCGGUAGGCCUAACACAUGCAAGUCGAACGGCAGCACAGUAAGAGCUUGCUCUUACGGGUGGCGAGUGGCGGACGGGUGAGGAAUACAUCGGAAUCUACUUUUUCGUGGGGGAUAACGUAGGGAAACUUACGCUAAUACCGCAUACGACCUACGGGUGAAAGCAGGGGAUCUUCGGACCUUGCGCGAUUGAAUGAGCCGAUGUCGGAUUAGCUAGUUGGCGGGGUAAAGGCCCACCAAGGCGACGAUCCGUAGCUGGUCUGAGAGGAUGAUCAGCCACACUGGAACUGAGACACGGUCCAGACUCCUACGGGAGGCAGCAGUGGGGAAUAUUGGACAAUGGGCGCAAGCCUGAUCCAGCCAUACCGCGUGAGUGAAGAAGGCCUUCGGGUUGUAAAGCCCUUUUGUUGGGAAAGAAAAGCGGCAGGUUAAUACCCCGCUGUUCUGACGGUACCCAAAGAAUAAGCACCGGCUAACUCCGUG
Molecule: ribosomal RNA, 492 nt
Filed under: uncultured bacterium
Lineage: Bacteria
Description: partial 16S ribosomal RNA
Rfam family: Bacterial small subunit ribosomal RNA
Source: RNAcentral